UAGGGAAUCUUCGGCAAUGGACGAAAGUCUGACCGAGCAACGCCGCGUGAGUGAAGAAGGUUUUCGGAUCGUAAAACUCUGUUGUUAGAGAAGAACAAGGACGUUAGUAACUGAACGUCCCCUGACGGUAUCUAACCAGAAAGCCACGGCUAACUACGUGCCAGCAGCCGCGGUAAUACGUAGGUGGCAAGCGUUGUCCGGAUUUAUUGGGCGUAAAGCGAGCGCAGGCGGUUUCUUAAGUCUGAUGUGAAAGCCCCCGGCUCAACCGGGGAGGGUAAUUGGAAACUGGGAGACUUGAGUGCAGAAGAGGAGUGUGGAAUUCCAUGUGUAGCGGUGAAAUGCGUAGAUAUAUGGAGGAACACCAGUGGCGAAGGCGGCUCUCUGGUCUGUAACUGACGCUGAGGCUCGAAAGCGUGGGGAGCAAACAGG
RNAcentral lists this ribosomal RNA (429 nucleotides) under Gemmatimonadota bacterium. Its description in RNAcentral is "Gemmatimonadetes bacterium partial 16S ribosomal RNA". It matches the Rfam family "Bacterial small subunit ribosomal RNA", at positions 355 to 776 of the family's 1533-position model. The record is from RNAcentral. Lineage: Bacteria; Pseudomonadati; Gemmatimonadota.